UGGGGAAUAUUGGACAAUGGGCGCAAGCCUGAUCCAGACAUGCCGCGUGAGUGAUGAAGGCCCUAGGGUUGUAAAGCUCUUUCACCGGUGAAGAUAAUGACGGUAACCGGAGAAGAAGCCCCGGCUAACUUCGUGCCAGCAGCCGCGGUAAUACGAAGGGGGCUAGCGUUGUUCGGAUUUACUGGGCGUAAAGCGCACGUAGGCGGACUAUUAAGUCAGGGGUGAAAUCCCGGGGCUCAACCCCGGAACUGCCUUUGAUACUGGUAGUCUUGAGUUCGAGAGAGGUGAGUGGAAUUCCGAGUGUAGAGGUGAAAUUCGUAGAUAUUCGGAGGAACACCAGUGGCGAAGGCGGCUCACUGGCUCGAUACUGACGCUGAGGUGCGAAAGCGUGGGGAGCAAACAGG
Molecule: ribosomal RNA, 404 nt
Filed under: Actinomycetes bacterium
Lineage: Bacteria; Bacillati; Actinomycetota; Actinomycetes
Description: Actinobacteria bacterium partial 16S ribosomal RNA
Rfam family: Bacterial small subunit ribosomal RNA
Source: RNAcentral